This 253-nucleotide ribosomal RNA is filed under the name uncultured bacterium. RNAcentral describes it as "partial 16S ribosomal RNA". It matches the Rfam family "Bacterial small subunit ribosomal RNA", at positions 524 to 776 of the family's 1533-position model. The record is from RNAcentral.
AACGUAGGAGACGAGCGUUAUCCGGAUUUACUGGGCGUAAAGCGUGUGCAGGCGGUUCGGCAAGUUGGAUGUGAAAUCUCCCGGCUCAACUGGGAGGGGUCGUUCAAUACUACCGAACUUGAGGACAUCAGAGGAAGGUGGAAUUCCGGGUGUAGUGGUGAAAUGCGUAGAUAUCCGGAGGAACACCAGUGGCGAAGGCGGCCUUCUGGGAUGUUUCUGACGCUCAUACACGAAAGCUAGGGGAGCGAACGGG